This 465-nucleotide ribosomal RNA is filed under the name uncultured bacterium. Its description in RNAcentral is "partial 16S ribosomal RNA". It matches the Rfam family "Bacterial small subunit ribosomal RNA", at positions 28 to 507 of the family's 1533-position model. The record is from RNAcentral.
GACGAACGCUGGCGGCGUGCUUAACACAUGCAAGUCGAACGGAAAGGCCCUGCUUGCAGGGUACUCGAGUGGCGAACGGGUGAGUAACACGUGGGUGAUCUGCCCUGCACUUCGGGAUAAGCCUGGGAAACUGGGUCUAAUACCGGAUAGGAGCCAUUUUUAGGGUGAUGGUGGGAAAGUUUUUUCGGUGUAGGAUGAGCUCGCGGCCUAUCAGCUUGUUGGUGGGGUAAUGGCCUACCAAGGCGGCGACGGGUAGCCGGCCUGAGAGGGUGGACGGCCACAUUGGGACUGAGAUACGGCCCAGACUCCUACGGGAGGCAGCAGUGGGGAAUAUUGCACAAUGGGCGCCAGCCUGAUGCAGCGACGCCGCGUGGGGGAUGACGGCCUUCGGGUUGUAAACUCCUUUCGCUAGGGACGAAGCUUUUUGUGACGGUACCUAGAUAAGAAGCACCGGCUAACUACGUG